UGGGGAAUAUUGCACAAUGGACGAAAGUCUGACCGAGCAACGCCGCGUGAGUGAAGAAGGUUUUCGGAUCGUAAAACUCUGUUGGUAGAGAAGAACGUUGGUGAGAGUGGAAAGCUCAUCAAGUGACGGUAACUACCCAGAAAGGGACGGCUAACUACGUGCCAGCAGCCGCGGUAAUACGUAGGUCCCGAGCGUUGUCCGGAUUUAUUGGGCGUAAAGCGAGCGCAGGUGGUUUAUUAAGUCUGGUGUAAAAGGCAGUGGCUCAACCAUUGUAUGCAUUGGAAACUGGUAGACUUGAGUGCAGGAGAGGAGAGUGGAAUUCCAUGUGUAGCGGUGAAAUGCGUAGAUAUAUGGAGGAACACCGGUGGCGAAAGCGGCUCUCUGGCCUGUAACUGACACUGAGGCUCGAAAGCGUGGGGAGCAAACAGGAUUAGAUAGCCCUGGUAGUCCACGCCGUAAACGAUGAGUGCUAGAUGUAGGGAGCUAUAAGUUCUCUGUAUCGCAGCUAACGCAAUAAGCACUCCGCCUGGGGGAGUACGACCGCAAGGUUGAAAC
Molecule: ribosomal RNA, 555 nt
Filed under: uncultured bacterium
Lineage: Bacteria
Description: partial 16S ribosomal RNA
Rfam family: Bacterial small subunit ribosomal RNA
Source: RNAcentral